Molecule: long non-coding RNA, 190 nt
Organism: Onychomys torridus (southern grasshopper mouse)
Lineage: Eukaryota; Metazoa; Chordata; Mammalia; Rodentia; Cricetidae
Exons: 3
Source: RefSeq, a predicted model, not a curated record
CAAAUUUCCAGAGUGAAGAUGUGAUGGCUGAAGAUGGAUGAAGUCCAGUAAGAAUCAUGACAUCCAUGUUUGGUGGUACCUCACAGUUAUUUGUGAUAGCAGUCACAGAGAGCUGAAUUUCCAAAUAUAUGAAAGGUACUUCUUCAUUUGAAUACAUCGGGAGGAAAGUUCAUGGUUCCGAGAGACAGAC